RNAcentral lists this ribosomal RNA (732 nucleotides) under Triticum aestivum (bread wheat). Its description in RNAcentral is "partial small subunit ribosomal RNA". The record is from RNAcentral. Lineage: Eukaryota; Viridiplantae; Streptophyta; Magnoliopsida; Poales; Poaceae.
UUGAGUGUCUUCAAGCUUUCUGCAUCGGUCUGUGACGAACUAACUCGUAUGAUACGUCAAUAUUGGUGGGGAGUGGAGAAUGGCAAGAAAAAGAUGGCUUGGAUGAGCUGGGAUAAACUGAGGCUGCCUAAGUCCAUGGGUGGCAUGGGGUUUUGAGACAUGAAGUCCUUUCACCGGGCAUUGCUUGCUAAAAAAGCGCGGCAUUUGUUGGACACGCCGGAGAGUCUUUGUGCUCGCCUUCUAAAGGCAAAGUAUUAUCUCUCUGGAGAGCUGCUGGAUACAGUGUUCUCGGGCAAUGGUUCAUCAGUGUGGAAAGGUAUAUUGCAUGGCCUUGACUUCCUCAGGAGAGGUGUAAUUUGGAGGGUGGGGAACGGGGCUGUCAUACGCACCUGGAGGGGUACCUGGAUCCCCCCAUCGUCGUUUCGCCCCAUCACUCCAAAAGGCAUUUGUCGCCUGAACGGGGUAGUUGAUUUUCUUGAUAACGGGGCUUGGUGGGUGGAUCGUCUUCGUGAAUUUUUUUGGCCCAUGGACGUAUAGUAUAUCACAAAGAUCAGAGCUUCGCCCCGCAUGCGGAAUGAUUUCUUGUCCUGGUUCCCGGAGAAGAGCGGGACCUUCACGGUGAAGAGUGCAUACAGACUAGCCACAUGUGAUCAUAACAUUGCCUUUGCAGGUGGUUCUUCUAGUUCAGACCCUGAGGGGAAUCGCUUGCUGUGGAACUGGAUUUGGUCGUCC